RNAcentral lists this ribosomal RNA (321 nucleotides) under uncultured bacterium. Its description in RNAcentral is "bacterial SSU rRNA". It matches the Rfam family "Bacterial small subunit ribosomal RNA", at positions 191 to 507 of the family's 1533-position model. The record is from RNAcentral.
GGAGGGGGAUCGCAAGACCUCUCGCUAUUGGAGCGGCCGAUGUCAGAUUAGGUAGUUGGUAGGGUAAAAGCCUACCAAGCCUAUGAUCUGUAGCUGGUCUGAGAGGACGACCAGCCACACUGGGACUGAGACACGGCCCAGACUCCUACGGGAGGCAGCAGUGGGGAAUUUUGGACAAUGGGCGCAAGCCUGAUCCAGCCAUGCCGCGUGCGGGAAGAAGGCCUUCGGGUUGUAAACCGCUUUUGUCAGGGAAGAAAAGCGCCAGGUUAAUACCUUGGCGUCAUGACGGUACCUGAAGAAUAAGCACCGGCUAACUACGUG